Molecule: long non-coding RNA, 205 nt
Filed under: Gossypium raimondii (Peruvian cotton)
Lineage: Eukaryota; Viridiplantae; Streptophyta; Magnoliopsida; Malvales; Malvaceae
Description: long non-coding RNA (GRAI_LNC006423)
Source: RNAcentral
ACAGAUAUACAGAAUCCUACCUCCAUCCUCUACACAGCAUCUUCAACCAUCCCAUCACACCAUGAGGGGUAAAAAACACGCACCCAUCCCUACACACCAUAUAGUGUCCAUACGACACAUAACAAAAUAGUAUGCAACCAAGCUACCAGAAAAAUAGGCGAAAGGUCUACAUACAGAAAACUUCCUCCACAUAUACAAAUCCCAC